Molecule: ribosomal RNA, 497 nt
Filed under: uncultured bacterium
Lineage: Bacteria
Description: partial 16S ribosomal RNA
Rfam family: Bacterial small subunit ribosomal RNA
Source: RNAcentral
GAUGAACGCUGGCGGCGUGCCUAAUACAUGCAAGUCGAGCGAACAGACGAGGAGCUUGCUCCUCUGACGUUAGCGGCGGACGGGUGAGUAACACGUGGAUAACCUACCUAUAAGACUGGGAUAACUUCGGGAAACCGGAGCUAAUACCGGAUAAUAUAUUGAACCGCAUGGUUCAAUAGUGAAAGACGGUUUUGCUGUCACUUAUAGAUGGAUCCGCGCCGCAUUAGCUAGUUGGUAAGGUAACGGCUUACCAAGGCAACGAUGCGUAGCCGACCUGAGAGGGUGAUCGGCCACCCUGGAACUGAGACACGGUCCAGACUCCUACGGGAGGCAGCAGUAGGGAAUCUUCCGCAAUGGGCGAAAGCGUGACGGAGCAACGCCGCGUGAGUGAUGAAGGUCUUCGGAUCGUAAAACUCUGUUAUUAGGGAAGAACAAAUGUGUAAGUAACUAUGAACGUCUUGACGGUACCUAAUCAGAAAGCCACGGCUAACUACGUG